This 226-nucleotide ribosomal RNA is filed under the name uncultured bacterium. RNAcentral describes it as "partial 16S ribosomal RNA". It matches the Rfam family "Bacterial small subunit ribosomal RNA", at positions 538 to 763 of the family's 1533-position model. The record is from RNAcentral.
GCGUUAAUCGGAAUUACUGGGCGUAAAGCGCACGCAGGCGGUCUGUCAAGUCGGAUGUGAAAUCCCCGGGCUCAACCUGGGAACUGCAUUCGAAACUGGCAGGCUGGAGUCUUGUAGAGGGGGGUAGAAUUCCAGGUGUAGCGGUGAAAUGCGUAGAGAUCUGGAGGAAUACCGGUGGCGAAGGCGGCCCCCUGGACAAAGACUGACGCUCAGGUGCGAAAGCGUG